RNAcentral lists this ribosomal RNA (332 nucleotides) under uncultured Lachnospiraceae bacterium. Its description in RNAcentral is "partial 16S ribosomal RNA". Lineage: Bacteria; Bacillati; Bacillota; Clostridia; Lachnospirales; Lachnospiraceae. The record is from RNAcentral.
GGAGUUUGGGCCGUGUCUCAGUCCCAAUGUGGCCGUUCACCCUCUCAGGCCGGCUACUGAUCGUCGACUUGGUGAGCCGUUACCUCACCAACUAUCUAAUCAGACGCGGGUCCAUCUUACACCGAUAAAUCUUUUCACACUGCAUCAUGCGAUACCGUGCGCUUAUGCGGUAUUAGCAGUCGUUUCCAACUGUUGUCCCCCUGUGUAAGGCAGGUUACCCACGCGUUACUCACCCGUCCGCCACUAAGCUUACAUUUCCAUUGGAGCAAGCUCCGCUUUCUACAUAAGCUCCGUUCGACUUGCAUGUGUUAAGCCUGUAGCUAGCGUUCAUC